This 406-nucleotide ribosomal RNA is filed under the name uncultured bacterium. RNAcentral's name for it is "partial 16S ribosomal RNA". It matches the Rfam family "Bacterial small subunit ribosomal RNA", at positions 30 to 526 of the family's 1533-position model. The record is from RNAcentral.
AUUGAACGCUGGCGGCAGGCUUAACACAUGCAAGUCGAGCGAGCGGCGGAAGGGUGAGUACUGUCUGGGAAACUGCCUGAUGGAGGGGGCUACCUACUGGAAACGGUAGCUAAUACCGCAUACCAUCAGAUGUGCCCAGAUGGGAUUAGCGAGUAGGUGGGGUAAUGGCUCACCUAGGCGACGAUCCCGAGCUGGUCUUAUAGGAUGAACAUCCACACUGGAACGGCGACACGGUCCAGACUCCGACGGGAGGCAGCAGUGGGGAAUAUUGCACAAUGGGCGAAAGCCUGAUGCAGCCAUGCCGCGUGUGUGAAGAAGGCCUUCGGGUGGUAAAGCACUUUCAUCGAGGAGGCGUUACUCGCAGAAGAAGCACCGGCUAACUCCGUGCCAGCAGCCGCGGUAAUUC